RNAcentral lists this transfer-messenger RNA (394 nucleotides) under marine eukaryotic metagenome. It matches the Rfam family "transfer-messenger RNA". From Rfam's summary of the family: Bacterial tmRNA, also known as 10Sa RNA or SsrA, is named for its dual tRNA and mRNA-like properties. Its role is to liberate the mRNA from a stalled ribosome. To accomplish this part of the tmRNA is used as a reading frame that ends in a translation stop signal. The record is from RNAcentral.
GGGGCCGACUGGUUUUGACAGCAUGAUGAAGAGUUGUGUAAGCAUGUCGGGUUUUGCAAGACUAUCCGUAACAAGUGUUGCAACGUUUUAGUUGGCGAAAACAACUACGCACUUGCAGCUUAAUCCGAAUUAUAGUAGGAUGGCUUAAUCGGUGCACUAGGUGUAUCGACAGGUAUCUUCUCACUAAAGCUCGCCGUACGCUUUAGUGAAUAUGGAGAUUCAUUGAGGAAGGCUAGUGUGCAAUCUGCUUCGAAUUGUAUGCGAAAUUUAGAAGAUAAGCUUGAGUUUGGUUGCUUUUUGCCGUGCUCAAGUCGAAAACUAAUGAUAAGCUAAGCAUGUAGAAAUCUUAAUUGUUCCAUGUUUGGACGCGAGUUCGACUCUCGCCGGCUCCACU